UAGUUUAAGGAAAUAAUCUUAAAUGUAUUCUGCCCAAUGAUUUUUAAAUGGCCGCAGUACCUUGACUGUGCUAAGGUAGCAUAAUCAAUUGGCUUCUAAUUAAAGUCUGGAAUGAAAGGAAAAAUGAAGUAAUUCUAUCUUAAAAAAUUUUUUUUUAAUUUAUUUAAAUGAUGAAAAUAUCAUUUUUUUUAGAAAAAAGACGAGAAGACCCUUAGAGUUUUUAUUAUUUUUUUUGUUGGGGCGACAAGUAAACAAUUAAACUUUACUAAUUUUUUUAAUCGAUUUAAUAAUAAGAUUAAUUAAACUACCUUAGGGAUAACAGCAUUAUAUUUUUAUAUGAUUGUGACCUCGAUGUUGGACUAGGAACUUUAUGGCUAGCCGUCAUAAAAGAUUUGUUCUGUUCGAACAAUUUAUCCUAC
RNAcentral lists this ribosomal RNA (419 nucleotides) under Biomphalaria sp. CJS-2010. RNAcentral's name for it is "partial 16S ribosomal RNA". The record is from RNAcentral. Lineage: Eukaryota; Metazoa; Mollusca; Gastropoda; Planorbidae.